GGGGGGGGGGGGGGGGGGCGGAAAAAACUUUAAUGGAAAAUAUAAUGGGAAAAAAAAAUAAGUGGAAGAGUCUGAAGAACAAUUUGUUUGGAGUAUACUUUUGUUGUCUAUUCUCUGGAUUUAAUAUUAUUGAUUGAAAAAAACAUUUUCCUUUUCAGGAGACAUCAGCUAUGUCCAGUUGUGCUAUACCAGUGGCUUUGAAAUGUCUAACAGUGAUUGACAACAAGAACUGGUAUACUUCAGUUAGAAAUGCCUACAAGUGAAGCAUUGCAUAGUGAAGGAAGGUUAGGGUUUAAGGCUCAAACUUCCUCUUGCGACCAAAUCAUCUGACGAAGGAUGAGAAAGCUGUACUUGAUUUAAAUGGGACAAAUUCGCUCUCUACCAAAUCAUAUUGCAAAGAAGUCGGUUGUAAUCUUUGCUGGGGAUUCAAUCGAGGGUCAGAGAUUAAAUCUUGAAGGAGAAGAGCUUACGGCAGGAACCCCUUAAGCUUACCGUCCUCAAAUUUGAUGUCUCUUCUUUCGAUAUUGAAGUGUGUAGAAAUGGGAGCUUGGAAACUCACAAAAGGGUGGUGCAGCUCUUCAGAAUUCCCUGAAGGACCGGAGUGGAACCGGGUUCCUAAUUCUGCACAUCAAAGGAAAACUUCUAAGCUUGCAGGUGGUAUGACACCUUUUUAGAAAUACGUCCAUGCAUAUUGCUGGUGAACUCAUAGUGUGAGAUGAUUUACCACACAGUAAACUUGGCGCCAAUAGUUGCACAAAGCUUUCCACAUUUUGGCAAUAUUUAAUGUGGAGCAUGGAGGCUAUCAGGAAUUUCUGAUGUAAGGAUGACGAUGAAAAACAUUAGCAGACAAAAUCAAAUGAUGAAUUUCGUGUGAUGUCUCAUGUCAUGUUUUUUUAUGGCAUUUAAUCAUUUGGCUUUGAAGUUGUACUAUUAAAAAAAAGUUUUGUUCUUUCAAGAAAUUUCUAUGUAGCAUAAAUAGUCAGCAACUAUGUAUACUCCGUAUGUAC
Long non-coding RNA from Lycium barbarum (goji berry), 1007 nucleotides. RefSeq lists it as uncharacterized. The transcript has 6 exons. NCBI's taxonomy places the organism in Eukaryota, Viridiplantae, Streptophyta, Magnoliopsida, Solanales, Solanaceae. The record is from RefSeq and is a predicted model, not a curated record.